This is a long non-coding RNA of Cyprinus carpio carpio, 1327 nucleotides long. NCBI's taxonomy places the organism in Eukaryota, Metazoa, Chordata, Actinopteri, Cypriniformes, Cyprinidae. The record is from Ensembl.
UAAGAUAAUUUAACUCAACACUCGAUUAAUUUAAUACCACCUGUGCAAAUCAGGAUUAGCUGGAUUGGUGUUGCCUAUAAAACAUGGAAUGAACCAAGAAAAGAUUAAAAUUGUAUGCAACUGAGAAGCAAAUGGCAAUGGAAGUUGAAAGGAGAGUGCAAUCAAAGAACUUUUCUGAACAUGAGAAAAGUCUUUUAAAGCAAAUAGUUUCGAGACAUCCUGUUAUCGAAGAUAAAACUGCACACAUCAGCUGUUGAAUCCAAAAAAGGAAUGCAUGGAAAUCUAUUUGUAAUGAAUUUAAUGCAAAUGAACACACAUUUACAUGAACAAUACAACAACUUCAAGUAAGCUCAUUAGCUUUAUUAUGGCUUUUUACAAUCACUGUUGUCAUUGUAGUAGUUAUUUAAUGUAGGUGUUGUGGAAAAAUAUCAAAAUAAACCUCAAAAAACUUGCUAAAGAGAGGUUUAAGACUGGAGGAGGACCUGCAAAUAAAGCCUGUGAUUGUAUUGGAUGAGUUACUGACAAGAAUACUGGAGAAUCAACAACCUUUGGAGAACAUACCAGAUGAUGACCAUCUAGAUGGUUCAGAUGAUGGAUCACAUGCACCUAUAUUAAGAGGUCAAAACAGAACUGAAGAAUUGGAAAGCAGCUUACCCUCCACAUCCUCAGAAGCAAGGGUUGCAUUGUCUGCCAGUACUGGUCAACAGAAGAAAAGACUCACUGUUCAUGAAAAGUUGGAUGAUGAUUUUCAUGAACAUAAAUUGAAGUAUCUUGAGGAGCAUGAAGAUACAAGUAGAACUGGAGAUAAAGAUGAAGGAGAGAGCAGGCUCAAAUGUCACAUCAGUACAUGAAUCUGUGAAAUAAAUAUUGUUUUAUGACGAAAAGAUGGAUGUUGUGGUGGUUUCAGUAACAUACCAGACAAAAGUGGACACUUCUAACACAUAUUUGGUUUUUAUCAUUACAUGUAUCAGAUCUGAGCGGAAGGGUGAAAGGUAAAAAAUAUAAAAAUCUAUUUAAAGUGGCACAAUGCAAAAGCAUCCCUGUAUGCAAGUCCUUCUCUGUGGUUUGUUGUAAAUGGUGGCACAUCUGGAUUGUCAUCCUCUUCUAUUGGGGGAUCUGGGCAUCCCUGCUUUUUUAGGUAGUUGUGAAGAACAGCUGUUGCAAUGAUGACAGUGCAGCAUCUACUUGGUUUGAAUCUAAGUGUUUUUAAAGCACUGUAAGCGACUCUUCCAAACAUGCGCUUGACUAAACCCCUUCUGCGCAUCUGAACCUGGUUGUAGCACAGUUGUUGGGUGCAAGUAUGUUGUAAACAAGAAAUCCUUCUGAG